RNAcentral lists this transfer RNA (67 nucleotides) under Marmota monax (woodchuck). RNAcentral's name for it is "tRNA.Ala". The record is from RNAcentral. Lineage: Eukaryota; Metazoa; Chordata; Mammalia; Rodentia; Sciuridae.
GGUUGUAGCUCAGUGGUACAGCACUAGCCUGGCAUGUGUGAGGCACUGGGUUUGAUUCUCAGAACCG